Molecule: ribosomal RNA, 253 nt
Filed under: uncultured bacterium
Lineage: Bacteria
Description: partial 16S ribosomal RNA
Rfam family: Bacterial small subunit ribosomal RNA
Source: RNAcentral
UACAGAGGGUGCAAGCGUUAAUCGGAUUUACUGGGCGUAAAGCGUGUGUAGGUGGCUCGCUAAGUCGGUUGUGAAAUCCCUGGGCUCAACCUGGGAAUUGCAGUCGAUACUGAUGAGCUCGAGUUCGGUAGAGGGUGACGGAAUUCCCGGUGUAGCGGUGAAAUGCGCAGAUAUCAGGAGGAACACCAAUAGCGAAGGCAGCUCGCUGGGACGUUACUGACACUGAGGCGCGAAAGCGUGGGGAGCGAACAGG